UUUCAGGUCGUUUUAUUGACAUGACGAAUUUUUGUUUUCUGUAGUAAGACAGAAAAUGAAUAACAACAAUUUCUACCCUUCCUUUAGAUAGGGGAGUAACUCCUUUUUCUCCUAAAGGUAAUCUUAAAUAAAAUAGAGUGAGCUGGAGAUUGCUGAACUACAGGUGGUGCCCAGCGUGAAACUACCUGCUGCUUCAAGCAGUGCCUGGAGGGAAAGGUUCUAUUAUGUCGCUCUCAGCAGCUACCCCCAGUACCAACUUCCAGCAGCUGUUCCUUCAAUAGUGACCCUAGUGGAAAACAGUCUUUCCAGUAACGGCUUCAGCUUCCAAUGGUUUUUUCAGUUGGCAGGAGUGGAUUCAACCAGUAGCUCUGCUCUGAUAGAGGCUUCUGGUCUUUCAUCUGUCAGACAAUUGAGGGUAAUGAGAGUGAUUCCUUUUGCAUGUUCCUUGAUAUUCCUGUGGUACUUACAUAUUAAGACCACUCAACAGCUCCCUCCAUCCCCAAGCUGUGUGCUCCUUCAGUCUUUGGAAACGUGGCUGUUCGGGGGAGGAGCAAGUGAAGGAAUCUUGGGCAGUAUUUGGGGGGCUCAAAAUUAUCUAGAGUUUGUGUUUGUGUCCGUUUUCAGGAACAGGGAUCUUGCUUUGUGACUUCAUCACUUACCUCCUCACUUACCUGUCCUAGCACAUAGAUGACCCUUUGUUCUAAUUCUCUGACCUGCUCCUCAUUCUAAAGUUGGGUGUUUAUCCCCAGUGAAAUGCUCCUGUUCCACCUUGCUUUUGCCCUUCUUGCAGGGUGAAGACUUCUUUCUCUGAUGCUCUAAAGACACAGUUCCGGGAAACUGGAUUCAGGCCUUUCCUUGAGGCCUUAAAUCCUGCUUCUGAACAGUUACCCGCAAAGGCAGGCAAAGUAGUCUUAUGGAUUUAAAUUACCAGCUGGGGUCACUUGCUUUCAGCUUGAAGAACUUUCUUUAGUAUUUCUUUUAAGACACCACCUUCUCAAGCUCAUCAAUAAAAACCUUCACCGCAGGACUGGCAACCUGUUUCUCUGGGACCCCUCUCUGCUGGAGAUAGCUCUUCUCUUUCUUUCACCUCUUAAACUUUCACUGCUGAUCUCACUCUCCGAUACAACGAUAUCCUCAUUAGAAAAAGACACACAGACAAAGGGAUGACCAUUUAAGACACAAUGAGAAGGCAACCCACUGCAAGCCAUGGAAGAAAGCAAACCUGCUGACACUUUGAUCUUGAGCUUGAAUCCUCCAGAAUGUGACAUCAGUGAAUGGGCUGGUCUGGAUGGCUUCACUCAUAUUUCUGGUGCUUUGACAAGGAUGAUUAGAAGACUGGACUUAGUUGGGGCUGAAUCCUUCUUCUUCAACUUGGUGGACUGAUGAAACAUGGACGAAACAGGAGGACAUUUGUUGAAUGUAAGAAGCCAGGCACAAAAAGAAAAUUACGGCAUUAUCUCAGGUAUAUGAAGAUUGCAAAAAAGUUGACCUCAUGGAAACAGAGCAAAAUUGUGAUUACUAGA
This is a long non-coding RNA of Callithrix jacchus (white-tufted-ear marmoset), 1523 nucleotides long. RefSeq lists it as uncharacterized. Lineage: Eukaryota; Metazoa; Chordata; Mammalia; Primates; Cebidae. The record is from RefSeq and is a predicted model, not a curated record.